GAUGAACGCUGGCGGCGUGCCUAAUACAUGCAAGUCGAGCGAACGGACGAGAAGCUUGCUUCUCUGAUGUUAGCGGCGGACGGGUGAGUAACACGUGGAUAACCUACCUAUAAGACUGGGAUAACUUCGGGAAACCGUAGCUAAUACCGGAUAAUAUUUUGAGCCGCAUGGUUCAAAAGUGAAAGACGGUCUUGCUGUCACUUAUAGAUGGAUCCGCGCUGCAUUAGCUAGUUGGUAAGGUAACGGCUUACCAAGGCAACGAUGCAUAGCCGACCUGAGAGGGUGAUCGGCCACACUGGAACUGAGACACGGUCCAGACUCCUACGGGAGGCAGCAGUAGGGAAUCUUCCGCAAUGGGCGAAAGCCUGACGGAGCAACGCCGCGUGAGUGAUGAAGGUCUUCGGAUCGUAAAACUCUGUUAUUAGGGAAGAACAUAUGUGUAAGUAACUGUGCACAUCUUGACGGUACCUAAUCAGAAAGCCACGGCUAACUACGU
RNAcentral lists this ribosomal RNA (496 nucleotides) under uncultured bacterium. Its description in RNAcentral is "partial 16S ribosomal RNA". It matches the Rfam family "Bacterial small subunit ribosomal RNA", at positions 28 to 506 of the family's 1533-position model. The record is from RNAcentral.